RNAcentral lists this ribosomal RNA (475 nucleotides) under uncultured bacterium. Its description in RNAcentral is "bacterial SSU rRNA". It matches the Rfam family "Bacterial small subunit ribosomal RNA", at positions 335 to 799 of the family's 1533-position model. The record is from RNAcentral.
ACUCCUACGGGAGGCAGCAGUGGGGAAUAUUGCACAAUGGGCGCAAGCCUGAUGCAGCCAUGCCGCGUGUAUGAAGAAAGGCCUUCGGGUUGUAAAGUACUUUCAGCAGUGAGGAAGGCGGGUGUGUUAAUAGCGCAUUCGUUUGACGUUAGCUGCAGAAGAAGCACCGGCUAACUCCGUGCCAGCAGCCGCGGUAAUACGGAGGGUGCGAGCGUUAAUCGGAAUUACUGGGCGUAAAGCGCAUGCAGGUGGUUUGUUAAGUCAGAUGUGAAAGCCCGGGGCUCAACCUCGGAAUUGCAUUUGAAACUGGCAGGACUAGAGUACUGUAGAGGGGGGUAGAAUUUCAGGUGUAGCGGUGAAAUGCGUAGAGAUCUGAAGGAAUACCGGUGGCGAAGGCGGCCCCCUGGACAGAUACUGACACUCAGAUGCGAAAGCGUGGGGAGCAAACAGGAUUAGAUACCCUGGUAGGAUAGCG